UUCAAAAACGUCCUAAGAGUUCACUGUGUUAUGGACUGUAAACAUUCAAGUCUAGUACAGAAAAGUUGUUUCUAUUUUCUAGUGACAUUAAUUAGCACAAAUAUUUUCUUUUCAGCAAAUUUUGCAUUCCCGUGGAGAUAGAGAGCAAUACGCCUAAACACUGAAGGAGGAAUUUGCCAGUAUGCUGAAUUACAAGUGCAUGAGGGGGGAAUAAUACCACUCAAAACCUGUUUGUUGCCCAGUGAAGAAUGUCAGAAACCUGGUGUCAUCUAAGCAUCAGCUGUUUCUGAAGGUUACCUGCAGCUUCAGGAUAGCUUUAUGUCACCAAAAUAAAACCUGGACCUGUUGCAGAAGUGGAUUUGACAUCUUGCAGAACUUUUAGAACUUCUGGCCUGAAUGUUAUGAGGAAUGGAAAGAGUCAUGGAUGAAGAAUAUAAAUGUCACUUGAGAUAUAACGGAAUGAGAGGAAUUCCACAGCUGAAGGCUUAAGAGCUUCUGCACGAGGCUAAAAUGUUCCUUGAACAUCCCAGUCUUUCUUCUAUGUGAUCUGUCUGUGCUGAGAUUCAGCCAGCUUGCAGUCCUCUGUCCAGAGUUUUCAGAGAAAGCUACUCAAACUAAAUAGCUCAAACAUGCUGGAGAUGCAAAAAUUGCAUCUCUUCGUCAUAAUGGUGCUAUCAAAAAACCUGCAGUAACAAGAUAUAUCGUGUUGUUGUUCAAAAAGUGGACACGACUGCAGAAUUUUAUACAUUCUGGAACUGAGUAGGUUGUAGUGCACUCAUCGAAUAAGCUUUAGAAAUUUGUCUGUCAUAACCAAUUUUUGGAACUAGAGAUCAGCUUUGGUGCAUAAGCUGUCCUCCCUGUUCCACUGUUAGCUUAACAUCUGGAUGAUAUACUCAGGGUGAACAAGGGGGAAUCACUGCUUCAAUAGCUGAGAAUAUGAGGUCUUAUCAGGUCUCCAACAGGUAGAUAAUUGACCAGAAUGUAUGCUGGUCUCCUCUGGCAGCUUCAGGAAUGGAUGGAGUUCCUUAUCCUGUCACGGUAGUUCCUGAACAAGAACCCUGUCUCCCACAGAAGAGGUAUCACUCAAACUGGCAUAAACGAUUGGUCCAAAUGGUCCAAAAAAAGCAGAGAGGGGAAGUGAGUUUAGGUUAGUGAACUUAAAGUGAAGUCUUCAGGAGAAAACCAUCUAACAGCAGGUUUCUCUUUUACAAGAGGGUGUUCUAUUUGGGUAUUUUCCCUGACAGAACAAUUUGGGAAUUUCAGAGAAAUUGGGGAAUGAUUCAGUACAGUAUCAAACUAGUAGUUUAUUAAAGUAUUGCAGAGCUGUCUCCCAUGUGUUUAGCUGAAUAAAUGUCAAAAUGUUUCUUAAAUAGAGUAUUUUGGGGGGGAAAAUGGUGAAUUUGUUCUUCCCCUUCAUUUUAAACAAUUGUCCAUACCUAACACCAUAAUUAUUUGACUGAUUUUAUCUUAAAUUCCACUUAGAAGCUGAAAAAAAGUUUGUGGAAGUUGGGGGUCCUGAUGCCAGUCCAAGAUGAGAGACUCUACUUAACAAAAUUCUCUGCUAGCUGCAGCUUAUAAACCAAAUGCAAGUAUAACCCUUUAGAGAGCUCACAGCAGUAUUUUAUUAUUGAAUAAUCAAAGGCAGGGGUUAGAUGGGCAACAUCCAGCUUUGAAACAGUAGACCACUCCUCCUACAAGCAACAAGAUACAAAUCAGUGUAAGUCUUCCCCCUCUGGAUAAACUAAAAUCUAACUAAUCUCUCAAACUGCAGGACCUGGUAAGAAAUAUUUCAAUCAUCUUUUAGAUCUUUCAGCCAGUCAUAGAAGUCAUAAAGAAAAGCAAGAAAAAUGAAACAAUAUCUAGAAAGCCUGGCAUACAGAGGGUUAAAGAUGAAAGAGAAGAGGAAGCACUUGAUAACAAUCUUUAAGUACAUGAAAUUUCAGAAAAAAAAUGAAGCAUGCCCAUAGGCAGUGGGACAAAUUGCCUCAAGGAAAAUCAGCUUAGAUACUAGGUAAAAUUUCUUACCAUAAGGAGAUGUAUCCAUUGGAGAGCUUGGGGAAAUUGGGGAACAUCCAAAGUUGUGGGGUCUUAAGGAGCAAGUGAAACAAACACCUAUCAGGACUGAUGAAGAUAUAAACACUUCUGCUUGCAAUUGAGGCACGGAUUGGAAGACCCCAUGCAACCCAUUUUCUACAUUCUCCAUGGCUACCAAUUUAUUUUUUUAUUUAUUCUGGCUGGUGUUGGACUACUCCUAACAAUAUUCCCAUGGCAAUUUCCAAAAGAAGUAAAUGUUGAAAAUUUGAAAGAGCACAUAUAAUUACUUAGAUAACCUCUAUUCAUUGAAUGCAUAGCAGACUUUAGGAUGACGGUUUAAAUGUUUUGGCCAUGUGCACAACAGAUCAGGGAAGGUGAAAGAAAAAAAGAAAAAGAAAACUGCCAGGAAAAGUGAAUAUUUAGUAACAGAAUGAUGGCAGGGAGUAUUAAAUACAUUACUAUCUGAGAAUGUUCAAAAGAAAUUGUAAAGAACUGUGUAAUAAAUAUAAGAACUGAGAUUUAAGCCCAAAACAAACAUUCAGUUGAAAUACUUUUAACUUUGAUAGAUUUUGCACAUUCAGAUUCUUUGGAUAAAGUGAAGAAGCAGAAAACUUUUUUGGAUCAAAGUCCAUCUUAAGUUUGUUACAUUGUGUUAAGACAUCUUCUGGCUCUUAAUGAUGACAAACGCUAGGGUCUUUAAAGGGUGAUGAGCAAAACGAUCACUGGGCAUACCAAAAAUGUGCAUCAUGCUGACCUUUGCUAAGUUGGCACUUUUGAGCUUCCAGAGACAUGACAUCCCUUCACGGAGGAAAAGGAAUGCUGGCAGUACUGUAUUUAUUUGGAGCCAGCAUAUACUGUUUCUUUCAUAUGUACUUAAAAAUGCAUAUGUUCUUUGUGGAAAACAGUUAGGCAUCCAACACUGCUGUUUGUAUUCAAUGAUAACAAAGUCAAGCAGCAAAGCAAAAGCUGACCUUCAGUCUGGUUGAGGUACCACUGCUUUAUUUUUCAGCCUUUUUAUAGCAUCAUUUUUUAUAAAGAGGCAUUUUUAUUUCUUCUUUGUUGUUCUUUCUUGGCCAAGGACUAUUUUUUAAAUUAGUUUCUCUCAAUAGGCUCAAGAUGACUGCAAAUGUUCUGGAGAGAAAAAACUUAAGGGGUAGCUUUCACAGGAGGGAGACUGUGGCUCCUUCCAAGCCUUCAUGAAAGUAGGACAAGCAGACAUGAGGAGAAAUUACCUGUAUGAAGGGAAAGAAUUAAACAAUAGGAAGAACUGCAGCAGACAAAAGAUUGGUCUUGGUCAUCAUAGCUGACCGAAGCUGAACUUUACAUUUUCUGUGAUGUCAAUGAAACGAGCCGUGUUCCAGAUCUCAUUAGGACACUGAUUAUCAAAAACUCCAAGUUUACUACAACUGUUUGGAAGUACCUUCCAGGUAUUAUGUCCCUACCAGAGGUGGAGUUUCAUACUUGAUCAAUUUUCCUGAAGUGAGAUCAGUUGCAGAAACAUGCAAGCUACACUGACAGACCUACCAAAUGCAGAGCACAUAAAACUUAGGAUAUCAGUGUUACUUAAAGGGGAUGUAGUCCAUCAUAAACUGAGCAUAUAUAGUGUCUGAAAAUCCAUAGGAGUCUUUUCAGAGAUAUCUUUUUAUGGAACAAAUUGAGAAUCCUUAUAUCAGAGAGUGAAAAAGGAAUAACUCAUAUAUACUAUCAUAAAGCUCUCCCUAAUUCCUGUGUUAUAGAAAUCUUAUGCUGUUAAUCUCUCUUUAACAGAUGUACUGUUGCAAAUAUAAUAGUUCUGUCAGAACCACUUUCAUUCCUUAGAUUCUUAAACCUGGAAAUCCUUCCUGUAGGCAAGCGUAUUCUUUGUGCCAAAACACAAGACAAUUUGAAAAACAAUGCUGACGUUUUCUGAAGCAGAUUAUCUCCAUGCCAGGAAUGGAACAUUUGAUAGCCCCGAGAAUUUCUGGGGGCAGAAAUGCAAGACAGUUCUUGAGCCACAAUGAACAUCUGGCAUUGUGCCUUCAGAAAUAAAUACUUCAUUGUUACCUGUUUAUUGUAAAUUACUUUUUAAAUUCAUAAAUCUUAGGGCAUAUUUAAAUCCAAUUUCUACAUUGUGAAUAAUAUGAUAAAUACGUUAUUGAAAGAGUAAUCCUUAUAUACAGUAACACUGCAUCUGGCUGCUUCCAAGUGCUGCGAGCACGACCUUCCUAAGACAGAAGUAUACUACCACCAUUUGUGGAUGAUCAGGUAUCUAUGCACAGGCAUGAGGGGAUAGCAUAUGGGACUGUCAUUACUCUGGCAGUCCUAUUCCUACCGUGGUGAAGGAUGGCUCAGGCAAUAGCCCAUGAAUGGCAUUAAAUAGAGAGAAAGAUCCUAUUUCCUCUCUGAAAACAGAUCAUACUCUGGCAGGUUCAAAGAAGAAAACAUGCUGUACAAUUUCAAAGUAAAACCUGGCAAUGUCACUGACUUCCAGCUCUCUACACAUAGAAAGCCAAGGGCUUAUAGAGUAUACUGAACAAGUCAAUGAGAACAAAAUAUUCAGUUUCUUUAAGUUUCUAUGCAGUACAAGUUGUGAGGAACCGUAUAAAGCAAAGGAAGGUUUUGGGUAUUGGUUUGUAAAUGUUUGUAUCAACAUUUCAAUUCUCCUUUUAAGAUUUCAGCAGUCAGACCAAGAAUUAGGGAACAAAUAACUUCCAAGUGAUUGCAACAUAACCAAGAGCAACCUGGAAAAAUUACAGCUGAAUUUGUCUUAAAAAUCUAUCUAAACUUAAAACUAUUUACAACAGGGAAAAAUAAAAUGGGCGAUUUCAUUUCAUUUGCAGGAAAAAAAGUAGCAGGAAUAUACAGACAGAGUAUUUGGGUAUUCACACACUAUUUCUAUUGCAGGAUUUUGUUGUGGCUUCUGAAAGUAAUGGUAGCUGCUUGUGAUUCUGCACAGAUACUUGUCAGAAAAUACAAGACAUUAUCUAGAAAAGAGAAAGCUUUUUUUGAUUGGAAUAAAAUUUCCUAAAUUGGGAAAUGAUGUUACAUUUUGAAAUAAUGCAAAUACUUCUGAAAAAAACAUAAAGUUGUUUUGGGUUGAACAUAUUCUACAAGUAACUAAUCUCUUCUAAAGCAUAUUUUGCCAUUUCUACAUUUUUCAGGAGUUGGAAUUUUGCAUUUCCUCAUGUGCAUGCUGAGUCAGAGACUAGUAGAAAUUAAAUUAAAAUCAGGAUUCACACUGAUGUCAGUGGGAUGUGACUUAUCACUGCACAUUUCUUUAUGCUUCCCUUCUUGAAUGACUGAAUUAUUAGAAUCAAAGGAUCGAAGGAUAAUUCAGGUGGGACAGGACCUCAGGAUGUCUAUAGUCCAUCCCAUUCAAAGUAGUGUCAGCUCUAGGAUUGGACCAGAUGCCCAGGGCUUUAACCAGUUGGAUCUUGAAAACUUCCAAGGAUGGAGACAGCACAGCCUUUAUGGGCAAGCUGCUCCACUGCUGGGCUGUCCUCAUGGUGAGAAAGUUUCUCCUUAUAUCAUGUUUAAAUCUCUCAUUUCACCUUAUGCCCGUUGUCUCUCUCCUUUCCACCACAUACCACUGUGAAGGGCUUGGCACUGUCUCUCAGUAACUUUCCCACAGGCACUCCCAGGCUGCUGUCAGAUGCCUCUUCUCCACACUGAACAAGCCCAGCUCCCUCAGCCUCUCCUCACAGGGCAAGUGCCCCAGCCCUGAUCAUCUUGGUGGCCUCUGCUGAACUUGCUCAACUUUGUCGAUGCCUUUCCAGUAUUGAGGAGCCCCAAACUGGAUGCAAUAUCCUAGACGCACUCUAACGAGUGCUGAGUAGAGGGGGAUAAUCCCUUCCCUCGAUUGAUAGGCUGUGCUCUUGUUAAUACAGCCCAAAGUGCUGUUGGCCCUCUGCUGCCAGGACACACUGGUGAGUCAUGCUUAGCUCACUGCCCACCAGGACCCCCAGGGCCUUUCCUGCAGACCAGCUCCCCAGCCAGUCAGUCCCAGCCUGUAUCAUCGCAAGGGGCAGUUCUCGCUGUAUUUCAUAAUGUCCCUGCUGUACCAUCCCUCCAGCCAGGCCCCUCUGGAUGGCAGCCUUGCCCUUGAGCGUAUCAACUGGGCAUCACAAUUUUAUAAAUCACAGAUUUAUAAAUGAAGCACACUGAUAACUGUCAAAAGUUGUGUUUGCACCUCAGCUACAAGGUUCUUAGCCCCGAGCAGAAUAUUCUGUAGUUUUUGAGGGAGUUCAGAUCCAAUCUCUCAGACAACUGCUUUGUAUUCAUAAACCUAAUUGAAAAUCAAAGGCCCAGAAAGGUCUGAAACCAAUUUCUCAUGCCUGAGAAAACAUGCUACAGGAAAAAAAGGAACAGGGACCUAGAAUAUAGCACUGUGAUUAGGACACAACAACCUAUGCAUUCAGCUUUCCGCUUUGCUCCAGGGUUCCUGCAUGACAGCUGAAAGGUAAACGCCUGAAUUGUUUAGAGAACAAUGGCCUUAGUUUUGUACCUCAGUUUCGUGUCUGCAAAAUUGGGAUAAUAAUAGUACUUCCUUAAGCCUCAGGAGGGUAGGGGUUCUUCCAGGCUACAGCCUCAAAGGGAAAGCAGCAUUGCCAGCAUGGCCAUGCCUGAUGUCUAGAGGUCUGGAAAACAGCUCAAUUCUGGAAAGAGAUACCAAGGACCAGGAAGAGUUAGCUGAUGCCCUUUUCUGGGCCAUGGCUCCUGCGCUUCUGUAUAAUCCUGUCUGUAUGCCUUUAUCCUGCUAAGCUGAGACCUGUACACAUACCAUUUCUCGGCUGUAUAGAUUGGGAGGGAAAUGUGACGCAUUUCAGUGUCUUCCAGAUUUAAGUAACCAAGAGAUCAGGAGUGCUAUAUAGGUGUAGACUGUACACCCCUGAAUAAGUUCCAUAACAGCCAGUGCUCGGAGAAGUGUAUUGCCUAGAAUAACCAAGAAGGAACAAGGAGACUAUUUUAAAGUUCUUUGGGAAAUGUAAGUCUGUUGAAGAAAGCUGACCAUCUGAUGGUUGGAGGUAGUACCUCACUUUUUAAAUAAUAAUACAGUGGUUGCAACACCCACCCAAGGAUUUUGUGACCUGCGUUCAAUUCCUUGCUCACCACAACAGGACUGGAAACCGAAGCAUGUCUUAACUUAAUCGCUAGACCUCACUUGAGUGAGGAUGCAUGCCUUUCCUCUUGUUGAGGCUGUGACAAUGCAUUGGAAGUAAUUCAGGACUAAUUAGACCAGGAGGUGGACAACCACAGUGUGUAUUUGUUGUGGUAGGCUAAAGUCUGCUUUCUCAUUCCCUCUGCCUUCCUCUUUUACCUUCUUUGAACCUGUCCCAUGCGUGAAAUUUCACCUCUUUUCUGGGCCUUCAGCUCUUCCUCAGCCCAAAAUGCUGGGCUGGUCUCGGCUGGGCCUGCAGCUACCUUCAUGGUUCUAUCACCUUGUUCUUAUGCUGACUCCCUCCUAGUGCACCUGGAAAUCCCUUUUCCCUGACUCUUGACUCAGACUGGUGGUUAUAGAGUCAUGGCCAAAAAUUUCAACAUAAUGCUGUUUUAAUAUCAAGAUGAGAUACAUUAAAAACAAGAUAUUUGGACUCAUGGAUGGAUCAGUGCCAAAUAUGAACAUUCAGCUGUCAAAGUGACACUCAUUUGAUGAGUGUUGUGUUUUUGUGUUAAUUACCUUGAGGACCUUCCUUCCAGGGUGUCCUCUUAUAUCUCAGGCUGCCAACUGCUAUCCUCUUGUGUGUUUGUCUCUUCCUCUAGACUUCCAGGAUUUUAGGGCUGCAGCCCAUUUGUUUGACCUUCAGAUAUCUGACCUUUUUUCAGCAUAUUCAGCCUGUAACCUGCAACCUUUUCUUUCUUAUGAUUAGUGAAAGAAUGAUCUGUGACCAGUUUGCAUUUAUAAAGGGGAAUAGUAUUUUUAUUUAGGACAAAGGUAUUACUGAGAGAAAAAUAUAAUAGAAGGAAUAAUAAAUAAGACUAUACACUUCUGAGUAUACUACCUUCUCUGAUGGUUUUAUCCAUCAGCCGCUUGGAAUCCUGAUAAAUAAAAA
Molecule: long non-coding RNA, 8063 nt
Organism: Dromaius novaehollandiae (emu)
Lineage: Eukaryota; Metazoa; Chordata; Aves; Casuariiformes; Dromaiidae
Exons: 4
Source: RefSeq, a predicted model, not a curated record